CUUCCAGCAAGAGUCCCUGGAGUUUUCCACACACCUGGAGUUCAUCUACUCAUCACCACCGCUGAUUUAUACCCGGCUCUGCUCUUCAGUAUUUGCCAGAUCAGCCGUUCACCCAAGAGGGGAUCACCGCUCAGAGAAAGCCCUGCUCGUCCGUCUGUUUCUGAAAUUGUGGAUCUGCUUGCCUGCCUGCUCUCUGCCAACACGCACUGGAAUCUACUACCAUUGUUCUUUCAAUAAAUCCUCUGUUAUUUCAUCCUAA
Molecule: long non-coding RNA, 259 nt
Organism: Micropterus salmoides (largemouth bass)
Lineage: Eukaryota; Metazoa; Chordata; Actinopteri; Centrarchiformes; Centrarchidae
Exons: 2
Source: RefSeq, a predicted model, not a curated record